UUGUAUCUGUGCUUUAUGGCUUUUUAUUCCUAUGUGAUUGCUUCUGUAACCUCGCGUAGGGGUGAAAGCCAUGGAACACGGUGCAA
RNAcentral lists this microRNA precursor (86 nucleotides) under Petromyzon marinus (sea lamprey). RNAcentral describes it as "microRNA pma-mir-135a precursor". Its record names the gene pma-mir-135a. It matches the Rfam family "mir-135 microRNA precursor family". From Rfam's summary of the family: The hairpin precursors (represented here) are predicted based on base pairing and cross-species conservation -- their extents are not known. In this case the mature sequence is excised from the 5' arm of the hairpin. Lineage: Eukaryota; Metazoa; Chordata; Hyperoartia; Petromyzontiformes; Petromyzontidae. The record is from miRBase by way of RNAcentral.